GGAGAUAGCUCAGUUGGUAGAAGGUUUGCCUUGAAUGCACGAGGCCCUGGGUUUAAUCCCCAGCACCA
Molecule: transfer RNA, 68 nt
Filed under: Marmota monax (woodchuck)
Lineage: Eukaryota; Metazoa; Chordata; Mammalia; Rodentia; Sciuridae
Description: tRNA.Ser
Source: RNAcentral